RNAcentral lists this ribosomal RNA (405 nucleotides) under uncultured bacterium. RNAcentral describes it as "partial 16S ribosomal RNA". It matches the Rfam family "Bacterial small subunit ribosomal RNA", at positions 28 to 526 of the family's 1533-position model. The record is from RNAcentral.
GAUGAACUCUGGCGGCGUGCCUAAUACAUGAAAGUCGAGCGAAGCGGGGACGGGUGAGUAACACGUGGAUACACUCAUAUAAGACUGGGAUAACUUCGGGAACCCGUAGCUAGACAGGAUACUUCUAGAUGGAUGCACGCUGCAUUAGCUAGUUGGUAAGGUAACGGCUUACCAAGGCAACGAUGCAUAGACGACCUGAGAGUGUGAUCGGCCACACUUGAACUGAGACACGGUCCAGACUCCUACGGGAGGCAGCAGUAGGGAAUCUUCCACAAUUGGCGAAAGCCUGACGGAGCAACGCCGCGUGAGUGAUGAAGGUCUUCGGAUCGUAAAACUCUGUUAUUAGGGAAGCGGUACCUAAUCAGAAAGCCACGGCUAACUCCGUGCCAGCAGCCGCGGUAAUAC